GGCUCCUUGGUCUAGAGGUAUGAUUCUCGCUUUGGGUCUACUCAACAUCCAGAAUUUGCGAGAGGCCCCGGGUUCGAAUCCCGGAGGAGCCC
This is a non-coding RNA of Xylaria cubensis, 92 nucleotides long. The record is from the annotation of a GenBank genome assembly. NCBI's taxonomy places the organism in Eukaryota, Fungi, Ascomycota, Sordariomycetes, Xylariales, Xylariaceae.